UGAUGGCAUAAUGGGAGGAUAAUGUGUGCACCAAUGACCAGGUUGCUGAUUAAGGAUCUGCACUAGGAAUUCUGUUGAGGAUGCUUGCAACCUUGUGGAGUGAGUAAUCAGCUUGUCUGGUGGAGAAAUGCCUGCCACAUCAUAACAAGCAUGGAUACGGGAAGUUAUCCAAGAUGAAAUUCUCUGUGAGGAAAGUGUAGGACCUGUCAUUCUGUCUGCUAUAGCCACAAACAGUUGGAUGUCUGGCAAAAUGAUUUGGUCCUGUCUAAGUAGAACACAAGUGCUUGUCUAACACCCAAUAUCUGUAGCUACUGCUCAUCCCUAUUUGCAUGUGGUUUGGGAUAAACAGGUAAGUAAAUUGAUAAAAAUUUGAAACUACUUUAGAAAGAAAAUUCAAAUAAGGCAUAAGUAAACCUUAUCUUUAAAGAAGACUGUGUAUGGUAGUUUGGAUGCAAUGGAAUGCAAUUCAGAGACCCUUCUGGCCAGAGAUGACCUAUACCAGGUUCAGGUGGAGCAGCUGACCAUGGUCUUGGGAGGUCAGCGAUGCAAUGGGAGUGAGAUUGGAGUUACAACUGAGAUGUCCAAUAGAAUGGAGAACCAGUAUUGGCAGGGCGAGGCUUAUACCUGAGUAUAGUCCCGCUUGAUCUUUGGUAGCGCUCUGCAUAGGAGGAGUGGGAUUGUGGGAAAAGCUUUUCUGUCCAGAAUAGCAGGGAGGUAUCUGUGAUUGAGCCUGGAUUGUGGUCUUGUUGGGGGGAGAAUUGGUGACAUUUUCUGUUGGACUUGUUUGCAAAUAGGUCUAUCUGGGGAGUCCCCUUCUGCUGGAAAAUGCGCCUGGCUACAUCCGGAUGAAGUGACCAACCAUGAUGACUUGAAAAUGACCUGCUUAGGUGGUCUGCUAACUCGUUCUGCUCCCCUGAAGGAUCCAUAGACGGGUAGAAACAUCAGGAGGAGGGGUAGCGAGAGUGGCUCCAAGGAUGAGAAAUGUAGAACCUGACCUCUGAUUUGGAAGAAGAUGACUUCCCUUCUGCUGACCAUGCAGAUGCAGUUCCAGAUGGUUUCAGCAAUCGCUGCCAAGGUGGAGAGGCCCACUGACAACCCUAUUGAGUCUUCCUAAAGGGAUCUCCAACUCAACACCCACCACUCAUCACCAACACAGCAGGGAUUGAACCAAGAACCUCCAGAAUUUACAGCAUGAGCUGGUACAGUUUAAUCUGAAAAGGCAACUAAUAUAGCUGGGGUUAUAGCACCUCACAGACAGGGACUAUAGUAACUCAUAACCUCUGUGGAUUGGCACAGCAAAUGACCUGUAAUACAUAUUCACCAGUAGGUUACAUGUGAAGCUACAAUACCCAGCUACACUGCCUCAUCUUGUCACAUCAAUCUCAAGAAAACAACAAGUACUAGUAGGGCUGGUUGAAAAAUGGAAAUAACUUUUGCAAAAUCUUUGUCCUUUGUUUUGUUAAAACACAUUCCAUUGUACAUUUUUGGCCAGCUCUAUAGCUGGUUGAAAAACAGUAUGAAUGUUUUGGUGA
Long non-coding RNA from Mauremys reevesii (Reeves's turtle), 1532 nucleotides. RefSeq lists it as uncharacterized. The record is from RefSeq and is a predicted model, not a curated record. The transcript is spliced from 3 exons. NCBI's taxonomy places the organism in Eukaryota, Metazoa, Chordata, Testudines, Geoemydidae.